Molecule: transfer RNA, 74 nt
Filed under: candidate division NC10 bacterium CSP1-5
Lineage: Bacteria; Methylomirabilota (SeqCode)
Description: tRNA-Met
Rfam family: tRNA
About the family: Transfer RNA (tRNA) molecules are approximately 80 nucleotides in length. Their secondary structure includes four short double-helical elements and three loops (D, anti-codon, and T loops).
Source: RNAcentral
UGCGGGGUGGAGCAGCUCGGUAGCUCGUUGGGCUCAUAACCCAAAGGUCGGUGGUUCAAAUCCACCCCCCGCAA